RNAcentral lists this long non-coding RNA (3135 nucleotides) under Homo sapiens (human). RNAcentral describes it as "HSALNT0289821". Lineage: Eukaryota; Metazoa; Chordata; Mammalia; Primates; Hominidae. The record is from RNAcentral.
CCAGGUGAGCAUCUUACAGCCUGGAGCAGCGCCCACACCCCCAGGUGAGCAUCUGACAGCCUGGAGCAGCACCCACACUCCCAGGUGAGUAUCUGACAGCCUGGAGUAGCACCCACACCCCCAGGUGAGCAUCUGACAGCCUGGAACAGCAUCCACUCCCCCAGGUGAGCAUCUGACCACAUUGAAUGGCAUCCUCACCUCCAGGUGAGCAUCUGACAGCCUGGAACCGCACCCACACCCCCAGGCGAGCAUCUGACAGCCUGGAGCAGCACCCACACCCCCAGGUGAGCAUCUGACAGCCUGGAGCAGCACCCACACCCCCAGGGGAGCAUCUGACCGCAUGGAAUGUCAUCCUCACUUCCAGGUGAGCAUCCGACAGCCUGGAGCAGCACCCACACCCCCAGGUGAGCAUCUGACCGCAUGGAAUGGCAUCCUCACCUCCAGGUGAGCAUCCGACAGCCUGGAACAUAAUUCUCCAACCCCAGGUGAGCAUCUGACAGCCUGGAACAGCAUCCACACCCCCAGGUGAGCAUCUGACCGCAUGGAAUGGCAUCCUCACCUCCAGGUGAGAAUCUGACACCAUAAAACAGCACCCUGCACCCCCAGGUGAGCAUCUGACAGCCUGGAACAGCAUCCACACCCCCAGGUGAGCAUCUGACCGCAUGGAAUGGCAUCCUCACCUCCAGGUGAGCAUCCGACAGCCUGGAACAGAAUUCUCCAACCACAGGUGAGGAUCUGACAGCCUGGAACAGAACCCCACUCUUCCAGGUGAGAAUCUGACGCAUAAAACAGCACCCUGCAACCCCAGGUGAGCAUCUGACAGUCUGGAACAGCAUCCACACCCCCAGGCGAGCAUCUGACUGUAUGGAAUGACAUCCUCACAUCCAGGUGAGAAUAUGACAGAAUAAAGCAGCACCCUGCACCCCCAGUUGAGCAUCUGACAGCCUGGAACAGCACCCACACUCCCAGGUGAGCAUCUGACAGCCUGGAGCAGUACCCACACCCCCAGGUGUGCAUCUGACAGCCUGAAACAGCACCCUCCACCACCAGAUGAGCAUCUGACAACCAGAACCUGCACCACACACCCCAAGGUGGGCAUCCGAUGGCAUGGGACAGCACCCCCACUCACAGGUGAUGUGACUGCGUGGAACAGCACAUCCCCUCAGGUGAGCAUCUGACAGCCUGGAACAGAACCCCACAACUUCAAAUAAGAAUUUGAUAAGUGGGAAAAAGCUCCCCGCCCUCAGGUGAGUGUCUGACAGCCUGGAACAGCACCCCACAACUGCAGGUGAGCAUCUGAUAGCCUGGAUAGGCACUCCACACAGCCAGGUGAGCAGCUGAAAGCCUGGAAUGGUAACCCACAUGCAGGUGAGCAUCCGACAGCCUGGAACAGCAGCUCACAUCCCCAGGUAAGAUUCCAACAGCAUGGAACAAGACCACUGCCCCCAGGUGAGCAUCUGGCAGCCUGGUAAAACAACCCCCUUCAGGUGAGCAUCCGACAGCCUGGAACAGCAGCUCACAUCCCCAGGUAAGAUUCCAACAGCAUGGAACAAGACCACUGCCCCCAGGUGAGCAUCUGGCAGCCUGGAAAAACAACCCCCUUCAGGUGAGCAUCUGACAGCCUGGAACAGCACCCUCCACCUUCAGGUGAGAAUAUGACAGCCUGAAACAGCACCCCACACCCCAGGCAAAAAUCUGACAGCAUGGAACAAGACCACUGCCCCCAGGUGAGCAUUUGACAGCCCGGGAAAGUACCCUCCAUGCACAGGUGAGCAUCUGACAGCCUGGAAACCCCCCCACUGCUUCCAGGUGAACAUCUGAUAGCCUGGAACAGAACCCCAGUUCUCCAAGUAAGGAUCUGAAAGCACGGAACAGCACUCUCACCCCCAGGGGAGCAUCUGACAACCUAGAACAGCACCCUCACCCCGAGGUGGGCAUCUGGCAGCAUAAAACAGCACCCCUACUGGCAGAUGAGCAUAUGACAGCGUGGAACAGCACCCACGCACCCAGGUGAGCAUCUGACAGCCUGGAACAGCACCCCACACCCCCAGGUGAGCAUCUGACAGCCUGGAACAGCACCCACACCCCCAGGUGAGCAUCUGACAGCCUGGAGCAGCACCCUACACCCCCAGGGGAGCAUCUGACAGUCUGGAGCAGCACCCACACCCCCAGGUGAGCAUCUGACAUCCUGGAACAGCACCCCACGCCCCCAGGUGAGCACCUGACAGCCUGGAACAGCACCCCACACCCCCAGGUGAGCAUCUGACAGCCUGGAACAGCACCCACACCCCCAGGUGAGCAUCUGACAGCCUGGAGCAGCACCCCACACCUCCAGGGGAGCAUCUGACAUCCUGGAACAGCACCCCACACCCCCAGUGAGCAUCUGACAACCUGGAGCAGCACCCCACACCUCCAGGGGAGCAUCUGACAUCCUGGAACAGCACCCCACACCUCCAGGGGGAGCAUCUGACAGCCUGGAGCAACACCCCACACCUCCAGGGGAGCAUCUGACAGCCUGGAACAGCACUCCACACCUCCAGGGGAGCAUCUGACAGCAUGGACAAGUCCUGCCCCCCGAACUCCAGCCCUUAAGAAAAUCAGAAGCCCUGGCAGGCACAUUGCCUCUGUGCUGUGCUUUUACCCAGCGAAGCAUCAGGGCAGACAGCCAAUUUCAACACUGCUCUUGGCUGGGAAGUGCCCUCAUCUCUGGCAGCCCCCACAGAGAAAGUGCAGGGCCCCGGGGCUGUGGCUGCCUCAGGGCAGGUCUCCCUUGUGACAGCCUCUUGUCAUGGGCCUGGGAGUGGACCCCUCCCAUCCCUGCCGUGCAUCCUGUUGAGUAGACAGCUCAGGCUAGUACCCAAGAGGGUGGCCAGCAGAUCACAGGGGAUGUCCCUUUUGUCUUAGCUGUUUAUGGGCUGGAGGAACCACUGUUCAGCCACAUCUCCUCUCCUGCCCCUCCUGCAUUCACCCGAGGUUGAUGGGAGCUCUGUGGGGGGAGACAGGCAGGGGAGGGGCCAGGCAACACCUGGGCAUAUCCCCAGGGUGCCUCCUCUGAUCCCCAGGAGGGGCAGCACCCACCCUCUUCUUUUUCCAAUUUGUUUUUAUUGUGGUUAAAUAUACAUAACGUAAAAUUUA